AUUGAACGCUGGCGGCAUGCCUUACACAUGCAAGUCGAACGGCAGCACGGGUGCUUGCACCUGGUGGCGAGUGGCGAACGGGUGAGUAAUACAUCGGAACAUGUCCUGUAGUGGGGGAUAGCCCGGCGAAAGCCGGAUUAAUACCGCAUGCGAUCUACGGAUGACAGCGGGGGACCUUCGGGCCUCGCGCUAUAGGGUUGGCCGAUGGCUGAUUAGCUCGUUGGUGGGGUAAAGGCCUACCAAGGCGACGAUCAGUAGCUGGUCUGAGAGGACGACCAGCCACACUGGGACUGAGACACGGCCCAGACUCCUACGGGAGGCAGCAGUGGGGAAUUUUGGACAAUGGGCGAAAGCCUGAUCCAGCAAUGCCGCGUGUGUGAAGAAGGCCUUCGGGUUGUAAAGCACUUUUGUCCGGAAAGAAAUCCUUGGCCCUAAUACGGUCGGGGGAUGACGGUACCGGAAGAAUAAGCACCGGCUAACUACGUG
This 486-nucleotide ribosomal RNA is filed under the name uncultured bacterium. RNAcentral describes it as "partial 16S ribosomal RNA". It matches the Rfam family "Bacterial small subunit ribosomal RNA", at positions 30 to 507 of the family's 1533-position model. The record is from RNAcentral.